UCCCAGUUCGGAUUGUAGUCUGCAACCCGACUACAUGAAGCCGGAAUCGCUAGUAAUCGCGGAUCAGAAUGCCGCGGUGAAUACGUUCCCGGGUCUUGUACACACCGCCCGUCACACCAUGGGAGUCGGAAAUGCCCGAAGCCGGUGACCCAACCCGAAAGGGAGGGAGCCGUCGAAGGCAGGUCGGAUGACUGGGGUGAAGUCGUAACAAGGUACC
RNAcentral lists this ribosomal RNA (217 nucleotides) under uncultured bacterium. RNAcentral's name for it is "partial 16S ribosomal RNA". It matches the Rfam family "Bacterial small subunit ribosomal RNA", at positions 1286 to 1500 of the family's 1533-position model. The record is from RNAcentral.